Molecule: long non-coding RNA, 783 nt
Filed under: Citrus sinensis (sweet orange)
Lineage: Eukaryota; Viridiplantae; Streptophyta; Magnoliopsida; Sapindales; Rutaceae
Description: long non-coding RNA (CSIN_LNC000842)
Source: RNAcentral
AAAUUGUUGUUGCAUGGCUUUGAGCAUGAUUGAUUGGUCUAUAGCUUCUUGAUCUUUUGACAUAUUUGUGAUCUGAAAAAAAAAUUGUUAGCAAAAAGACCUCACAACACUCCCUCACGUAUUUCACUCAAUUUUGAUGUCACUUAACUCUCGUGUUUAACACACAAAUUGCCUUUUACCACACUUAAUUCUCUCUUUCAGUUCUUUAUUGAACUAAAUAAACAAAAUCAAGAAAAAAAAAAACCCAAGUGGCACACCAAAUAUGACAAUCCAGCACACUAACAAAGAAAAGAAAUUAAGAGGACACAAAGAAUGAAAAGGAAAUUGAAGAAAGGAAAGCAAGCAAGCAAAGCAACACAAUUGAUAUGUGUAAACUAUGAAAGUAGAAAUACUUGACUCUUUUUUUGUAAUCUUUUUUUUUGCACGUUUUUUUUCUUUUUUCUUUUUGAUAAUCAAAAUAAAUAAGACAUUCAAACCUGAUUAGAAACUAGCUCUGAUACCAAAUGAUACGAAUCCCACAAUGAAACUUUCAAUCCUACAAUUAAUUUGUAGUUUCAACUUCCCAAGAAAGUUCUAAACAGAUUUAUGGCAAACAAAAACCUUGACCCAAUGCUUAAGAAAACAUGAACCAAAGGUAUAGAGAAGGGUAUUGACGCCACACUCAAGAAAAAGAUGAGAAGGUGAGUGAUAAGUCUAAAUUUGGAACACCACAAGAAUGUAAAUUCUUGAUAAGUUCACUAGUUCUCAAAAGAACCAAAGAAAGAAUAAUCUUUCAAAUUCAAA